GAGAAAGGCCAGAGGCAAAAAGCACUGCUAAUUCUUUCAUCCGUGGCUAAAUUCCGCGGCUUUCUCG
This 67-nucleotide transfer RNA is filed under the name Schistura corica. Its description in RNAcentral is "tRNA-Ser". Lineage: Eukaryota; Metazoa; Chordata; Actinopteri; Cypriniformes; Nemacheilidae. The record is from RNAcentral.